Gadus macrocephalus (Pacific cod) is the source of this 536-nucleotide long non-coding RNA. RefSeq lists it as uncharacterized. NCBI's taxonomy places the organism in Eukaryota, Metazoa, Chordata, Actinopteri, Gadiformes, Gadidae. The record is from RefSeq and is a predicted model, not a curated record. The transcript is spliced from 3 exons.
GAAGAGACCAAGCAGCUUGAUGACUGACUGGCUCUUUAUACUCAAGACCUCGUCCCGGAGCAGAGGACGGACCUAAGGCCCGCAGCGCAGCCGACUAGAGACUCCAUGUGGAACCGGUUCAAUUAAGUUGACCUCUCCUUCAGGCGACUUAAAGGGAGACCAGAUGUGCGGCAGCUGGGUGUCAUGGUGCAGAGACCCAACGCUGUACUGAACUACACCAGUGUGUCCUACUCCCAUAAACCCUGAGGAUCCCUGGAUGGCUACACCAGCACAUUAAUCCACACCCAACAUCAACACACAGUGCACACUCUAUAAAGCUCGUAAGUCCGCCCCUUGCGGCGGGACCUUGUGAGAUCGUAAGAUAUGACUGGGUUUCAAUGGAGAGAAAGUAAAUAUUUUCUCCAUUUUAUGUUGCACCACAUUUUGGGGGAAGAAUGUUUGAAUCGAUCUUUGUCAUUUAUUUCUGUACUCCAUAUCUGUAAUCCCAGCUGUUGUAUUUUAACACGGUAGCUGGGAACCCUCUUUAUAGGGAGCGA